Molecule: ribosomal RNA, 497 nt
Filed under: uncultured bacterium
Lineage: Bacteria
Description: partial 16S ribosomal RNA
Rfam family: Bacterial small subunit ribosomal RNA
Source: RNAcentral
GAUGAACGCUGGCGGCGUGCCUAAUACAUGCAAGUCGAGCGAACGGACGAGAAGCUUGCUUUUCUGAUGUUAGCGGCGGACGGGUGAGUAACACGUGGAUAACCUACCUAUCAGACUGGGAUAACUUCGGGAAACCGGAGCUAAUACCGGAUAAUAUUCUGAACCGCAUGGUUCAAAAGUGAAAGACGGUCUUGGUGUCACUUAUAGAUGGAUCCGCGCUGCAUUAGCUAGUUGGUAAGGUAACGGCGUACCAAGGCAACGAUGCAUAGCCGACCUGAGAGGGGGAUCGGCCACACGAGAACGGAUACGAGGACCAGACGCCUACGGGAGGCAGCAGUAGGGAAUCUUCCGCAAUGGGCGGAAGCCUGACGGAGCAGCGCCGCGUGAGUGAUGAAGGUCUUCGGAGCGUAAAACUCUGUUAUUAGGGAAGAACAUAUGUGGAAGUAACUGUGCACAGCUUGACGGUACCUAAUCAGAAAGCCACGGCUAACUACGUG